RNAcentral lists this ribosomal RNA (1386 nucleotides) under uncultured bacterium. RNAcentral's name for it is "bacterial SSU rRNA". It matches the Rfam family "Bacterial small subunit ribosomal RNA", at positions 31 to 1392 of the family's 1533-position model. The record is from RNAcentral.
GAACGUUAGCGGCGGGCUUACACAUGCAAGUCGCACGAGAUAGGGGCUUCGGCCCUGUGUAAAGUGGCGGACGGGUGCGUAACACGUGGCUAACCUGCCCUCCAGUUGGGGAUAACUGUCCGAAAGGAUAGCUAAUACCGAAUUCGUCGGCCGGGUCUUCGGACCUGGUCGGGAAAGCCGGCCUCUGCAUGUAAGCUGGCGCUGGAGGAGGGGGCCGCGGCCCAUCAGCUAGUUGGUGAGGUAAUGGCUCACCAAGGCAACGAUCCGUAACCGGCCUGAGAGGGCGGUCGGUCACACUGACACUGACAUACGGGUCAGACUCCUACGGGAGGCAGCAGUCGGGAAUUUUGGGCAAUGGGCGAAAGCCUGACCCAGCAACGCCGCGUGAAGGAUGAAAUCCCUCGGGAUGUAAACUUCGCAAGAACGGGAAGAAUAAGUCGGUGCUAACACCACCGCCGAUGACGGUACCGUUUGUAAGCUCCGGCUAACUCCGUGCCAGCAGCCGCGGUAAUACGGGGGGAGCAAGCGUUGUUCGGAUUUACUGGGCGUAAAGGGCGCGUAGGCGGCCACCGCAAGUCGACUGUGAAAUCUCCGGGCUUAACUCGGAAAGGUCAGCCGAUACUGCGGGGCUAGAGUGCAGAAGGGGCAACUGGAAUUCUCGGUGUAGCGGUGAAAUGCGUAGAUAUCGAGAGGAACACCUGCGGCGAAGGCGGGUUGCUGGGCUGACACUGACGCUGAGGCGCGAAAGCUAGGGGAGCGAACGGGAUUAGAUACCCCGGUAGUCCUAGCCUUAAACGAUGGAUGCUUGGUGUCUGGGGUUUUAUAGUCCCCGGGUGCCGUCGCUAACGCUUUAAGCAUCCCGCCUGGGGAGUACGGUCGCAAGACUGAAACUCAAAGGAAUUGACGGGGACCCGCACAAGCGGUGGAGCAUGUGGUUUAAUUCGACGCAACGCGAAGAACCUUACCUGGGCUAGAAUGCCUCUGACAACCCUAGAGAUAGGGCCUUCUGGGUAAAACCAGACAGAGUGCAAGGUGCUGCAUGGCUGUCGUCAGCUCGUGUCGUGAGAUGUUGGGUUAAGUCCCGCAACGAGCGCAACCCUUAUCAAUAGUUGCCAGCGGUUCGGCCGGGCACUCUAUUGAGACUGCCGUUGACAAAACGGAGGAAGGUGGGGAUGACGUCAAGUCCUCAUGGCCUUUAUGUCCAGGGCUACACACGUGCUACAAUGGCAAGUACAAAGCGCUGCAAACCUGCAAAGGGGAGCCAAUCGCAAAAAGCUUGUCUCAGUUCGGAUUGGAGUCUGCAACUCGACUCCAUGAAGUUGGAAUCGCUAGUAAUCGCAGAUCAGCAAUGCUGCGGUGAUACGUUCCCAGGUCUUGUACUCACCG